CAAAUGAAGAGUUUGAUCCUGGCUCAGGAUAAACGCUGGCGGCGUGCCUAAUACAUGCAAGUCGAUCGAUUAAAGCCUAGCUUGCUAGGUGGAGAUAGAGGCGAACGGGUGAGUAAUACAUAAGUAACCUGCCUGCAAAGACCGGGAUAACGCUUGGAAACGAGCACUAAAACCGGAUAGGUAACGAGAGGACAUCCUCUUGUUAUUAAAGGUUCAAAACACGAGCAGAUGGGCUUAUGGUGCAUUAGUUAGUUGGUGAGGUAAUGGCCCACCAAGACGAUGAUGCAUAGCCGGCCUGAGAGGGUGAACGGCCACAUUGGGACUGAGACACGGCCCAGACUCCUACGGGAGGCAGCAGUAGGGAAUUUUCGGCAAUGGG
RNAcentral lists this ribosomal RNA (379 nucleotides) under Erysipelotrichaceae bacterium. RNAcentral's name for it is "bacterial SSU rRNA". It matches the Rfam family "Bacterial small subunit ribosomal RNA", at positions 1 to 375 of the family's 1533-position model. Lineage: Bacteria; Bacillati; Bacillota; Erysipelotrichia; Erysipelotrichales; Erysipelotrichaceae. The record is from RNAcentral.